Molecule: long non-coding RNA, 5850 nt
Organism: Melospiza melodia melodia
Lineage: Eukaryota; Metazoa; Chordata; Aves; Passeriformes; Passerellidae
Exons: 3
Source: RefSeq, a predicted model, not a curated record
GGCCGGCAGCGAGCGCGGGGUUCGGCCGCUCCAAGUUCGGCGGUGCCGUGGCUCGGAGGCGCUUUGGAGGCGUUGAUGGCAUCGCUGGGUUCGGUUUGCAGCGGGUGUCCGCUAAGGGAUAUGGUGUUCUUCCUGAGCGGCACGGUUCUCGGUGCCGGUAGAGAUGAUAAAGGGUACUCACAAAAUAUGUCUCCCUUAGUGUCCCACAGAAACAUUCUGGGUGCAAUCUGAAUUAAGGUAUGUGUUUUCAAAUAAGUAAUCAGUUUAGAUAUUUGCCUGUGUACCUUUUCCUGUAAUUCAGAGCUUGUGUUCUGUGGGUUUUAUGAUAAACCUGUAAAACAUGUAAGAAUGGUUUUGCAAGUCUGAAUCGUUGAAGGCAGCAAUAAGUGGAUUUAAAGCCUGUUCUUGAGCAGACAAAGGGGAAAAGUGUGACUCUGAUGCUGAACUUGUCAUUUUUCAUUUGACUUGCCUUUAAUUAUUGAAGAAGAGAGAGAACUAGGAAAAGAAAUAGAAUUGAUUAUUGAGCACUCCUAAAAAGCUCACCAUGAUUCUGUGUAGAGCCAAAGUGAAGGAUGAUGGAACAGAGCUCUGUGCAUUAGAAGGAAAUAAACCUGAUGUCCACACAGAGUCUUACUAAUUUCUGUUUUUAAAAUGCAAAAUAAGUUUAGGAAGUGUUGGAAGUUAGUAUUUUGGGAAAGAAAUGGCAGUUCCACAAAACAUUCCAUUCCAUUUAAGAGAGGCCCUUGGACUGAUUCAUGUUGUAACUGCUGUCACUGCAAUCAGUUGGUGGUUCAGCCUUGAAAUGUGCACUUGGCCUUCUAUAAAGCACUGUUUUGUUUGCCUUUCAGUGCUAUGAGUCUUGAUAAAUUGGAGAAGUGCCCAAGAGAAAUUCAUCAUCCUGAGAUACAAAAGGUAGGAAGUGACUUUUUCUGGUUUGGUUCUUUUUCUUUAUUGUUUUCUGGAAAUAGAAGUAAUUAAGUAUAGAUACUACUGGUUUGUUUCUUCCAGUAGCUGAUAAUACUAAUACCAAUAAUAAUAAUAAUAAUAAUAGUAAAGUAAUACUACUUCAACUGUCUUUAUUUAUCCAUUGAACUGGCCAUUUUAAAUCUAAACUUCUAAACACAAAUCAAACCAUCAUCCUUGUAGAAUCUUUAAUAGGAGUGGGCUAAAGAUCCUGGUUUUGUUGACAGGAUUUAUUGGUUCAUGAACAGCAAGAGGUAAGUACAAGCCUAACUACCCUCUAGCUCACAGACCUGCCCGGUGAAUAGAGCUUUGUUUUUUUGAUGGGCUUGUGAUGACUUUGAGAUCAAUUGCUCAUUCAUUACAGUAAAAAAAAAAAAAUUGUUUUGAACAUGACAGCAAAAAUAACUUUAAGCACAACUUAAUAAUAAUAAUAGAUCACCAAUUUUAGUUAAUAAUUUUAUGCUAUACUCUUGGGUGAGGGAAGACUCGGACACUCAAUAUGAGAUCAGCAAGCUAUGUUUAUUGCAGAGAGUAUCAGACACUUAUACAGCACAUAAUAAGCUUAUGAAUAUUCUGUAAGCCAAGCGAUCUAUUGGUUAAACUAUACCAUCAACUCUUCCUCAUUCCUUUGGGCCUACAUUCCCUAUUUCCCACGUCUCUCUGUCUACUUGUUAUCCUACCCAGCUAGGCCCAGGCACACGCUAUCUUGCAGGUGCAAAACUCAAAAAUACCUGUGUUCGGUACUUUCCCAGCUCCUGGUCGGCUAACGAGCGAAUGUCUGCGUGACCUCUGUCAUGGAGCCAUUUCUCCACACUAUACUAUCAAAGUUUAAAGGUAAAUUAUUAUAUAUUAGGAGAUGGUGUAAAGUGUAUGUUGUAAUGUGUAGGAUAUAUACAAAGAUACGUACUUGAAAGUCCGUAGAGGAAACAAAUUUUUACGCCUUCUGUUUGACUGUUUGUCAUAUAUUUGGUUUUAUUUCCCAGGGAUCAGUGAAUUUUAACUCUGGAGUCCUCUAUGCUAAGGAUGCUCAGCUUAGAGAUGAUGAAAUGUUCAGUAAUGGUGAGUUUUUCACCUUCUCCUUCAUUGUUUUGCUCAUCUGAAUAAAAAAAAAAAAAAAGGCAAGAUUAAAGAAAAAGCAAUAGUUUUAUUAUUUUUACCCUGUUAUGUCUGUUUCCUCAGUAUUUGCUGCAGCUCUGCUUACCCAAGGUUUGGGUAAAACAAGCUUUGGGUUCCCUCUGUCUCACUGGGAGUUGCCCAAUUCAGUUGCAUCUGGUGAAAUUCACCCUGAGACCUUACAGAACCAGCUCCAACUACGUGAGAGCCAUUUGCAGUUCUCUCCAGACACCUGGAGAAUGGGCGACAUUUCUGAGAAUCCGGCGAGCGUGCUUCUAUCAAAACUCAGUCUGUGAAAUUCCUGGGGAAAACCCUUCUGUGUCCUGAAGGGUUCAAACUCUGGUGAGGAUCCAGUUAUCAGGUGCUCACCUGGAUGGUUCCAGCUCUUAAAGUGAACACUUGUACUCUUGCCCUGUAGUUUACAUCUAUUGUAUUUUUGUUAUUUUGCAGGAUUUUUUGUCUUUGCAAAAUAUUGUGCAUUUCACUCUUUGGAACCUCUCAGAUGGUUCUUUGGUGCAGCACCACCCCAGGGGACACUUGCCUGCUGUCCUGAAGGGGUUGGUGGCUAGAAUUGUGAAUCCUGGAGAGUUUAUAAGUCUUCUGUCCCCAGGGAGGUGUCGUGCUUUGUUUACUUUUGUUCUGUUGGUUAGGCGCUGCUUCUCGUUGCAAGUACGAAUUUCAAACUGCCCUGUUCUUUUUUUAACUGUUUUCCUGGUUCUCUCCCUACGGCAGGGAAAGACUCUCGUAUCCUUGUCGUCGGGCUCGGUGCUGUCCAAGAAGAUACAGAGACUAAAAAAAUCAUAAGAAGCAAAAUAUGACUGCAGGGAAAAGAAGCUGGAGAGAACAGAAGACUCAUCACGGCGGGACAGCGUGAAGACUGAAAGUGUAAGAAGAUGUGGAGGGAAACAGAGAAUCUGACAGGAGCAUCGGAGGGACGAGUGCACGAAUUUUGCUUUUUGCUUGGAUGUAAACUCAGGAGUUGAGAGGAAUUUGGGAGUGAGAAGGGACAUCUCAGAAGGAGAAGAAGAAAAAGAGGUUGUUGUUGUUGUUACAGUCCUGGCAAAAUCUUUUGUUCUAGCUAAUAAAAGAAGUUAGUUUAAAAAACAAAAAGGAAAAAAUGUAGUGUUUUUUUUUUCCUUCACUAUGAUAUUCAUUGGUGGUAUAUGGUGUGUUGUUUCAUUUCUUGGUAUUAUUAACUCUGUGUAAAUUGUUUUUUGAGUGAAGCUGACUUUCUGGAUGGGUUGGUUUGUAUUUGAGGCAGGAUUAAUUUCAGUAGGGUUCUUUCAUAGAUUUCUGAUGGGUAUUACUGGGAUUUUGGUUUUGUUUACUGUAUGUAUGAACCUAGAGCUUUGGUAGGGCCAGCUGGGCUGCUGGAGUUUUGGGUGUGAAUUUAUUAGAUGGCUUUUGUUAGAUGCAGUUUUUAAUUUUUGAAAUGUUUUUCAAUGUAGUGGUUUUAAGGUGGUUUUUAAGAAUUCAUUGUAUUGCUUUAUCUUGUUUGUAGUUGGUGUAUGAUAAGGGAUGUGGUGUGAGUUCUUGAACAUUAUGGUUUUGGUGUUCCUAAGUUCUGAUUUCUUUGUGGUUCAAUAGCUUUUUUUAUUUUUAUUUUUUGGGACAGGGGCAUUUAUAUGGUGGGUUUUUAUAGGCAAUAUGUUUUUUAAUUUAGGUAGUGAUAUUUUUUAAUAUUUUAAUAGUUUAGGUUUUUUAUUUUCAUGGUUUUAAUUAUUUUUUUUAAUUUUUUGAAAUAACUUUUAUAGAUUACAUGUUAUUAUUUGUGCAUUAACAUAAAGGUAGAGCUUUGGGGACUUUUUUUAGUAAUGUUUAGGGUCAGUUGUGCAGUUUUGAGUCUAGUGCGUUGGUUUGAUUUAAUUUUUAAUGGGUGUUUGUUUUUAUUAGCAGUUGUGUCAUUUUCAAGGUGUGUUUGAGUUUUUUGGGGUUUUUGAGAUACUGGUUUAGGAGGAAGUUUAUGAUGAGCAUGUGCGGAGGUUUUGGGCUACUUUAUAGUGGGAUUUAAAAUUUAUUUACAGUUAGGUUUAUUUGAGUUUUUAUUAGGGUUCAGUGACGUUGUGGGAUAUUUGUUCCGUUAGUAACAGAAAUAGGUUUUGUUUUGCUGUGCUGCGAUGGGAUGGGCGUGUGCUGCGUGCCGGUGCUGACAAAGGUACAGUAUUGUUGUGGCUCUGGUGCGUCGGGUUAAUGAACUGACAUGGUUUAAUGUAGAGAUGAAAAUAGAAAUAAAUAUACAUUUAAAAAUAAAUAUAAAAUUAGAGUGGUAAACAUAAAUAUAGAUAACAGAUACAUACAUAAAACUAUAAUAUAUGGUAUAUAAUUGUAACAUGUUAUCAUAUAGAUAAAUGAUAGUCUAUUUUAUAUAUAUAUACACAAAGAUAUAUAAAUAUAGAUUGUAAAUAUAAAAAUAUUUAAAUAGAGUUAAAGUAAAUUGGGCAGUUUUAUUAGGGUAUAGGCUGGGGUUUUUAAAUGAUAGCAAUAAAAUAUAAAUUCAGAUAUACAAAUAUAUAUAGAAAUACAAAUAUCUAUACAUAUUUAAUUUAAACAAAUAUAAGUAAGAAAAUAUGUAUAAUACAGAAAAUAUAUUUCUAUGAUUAUAUUAGAAGGUAUUCCCUCUAAUAUAGAUAAAAUCUAUGCAUAAAAUAAAUAAAAAUAUCCAUAUAAAUAUCAUUAUAAUUUUGAAAAAUAAAUUUACUUCGUAAAUUUUAAAUCUGGUUCAAAUAAAGGGGUGUCCUUGGUUUUUAUUUGGUUAGAGGCAGGAGUUUUAUUUUAAAUAAUAUAAGCAAUAUAGAAAUGUGGAUCUUAAGAUAGAAAUAUAUAAUAAAUAUAUAAAGAGAAAUUGCUAAACUAUGAAUAUAAAUUUAAAUAUAAAUAUAUGUAAGUAAUAUGAGGAGUUGUGGCAUGGAAUAUAAAUAACAUUAAAUGGCAAUAUAAAUUAUAAAUGGGAAUAUAAAUAUAAAAAUAUGUAAAUAUCGUUUAAAAGAAAUGGAAUGUUUUGGCUUUUAUUUAAGUAGAGGCAGGGUUUUUAAUUUGAAUAUUAUACGUGUUCCAGAAGUAAAAAUCUUGACGCAGAAAUAUUUAAUCCAUAUAAAAAUAUGAAUAAAAAAAUAUAAAAAAUAUAAAUACCUACUCGCAUCGGAUGUAAUAUAGAAUAUAAAUUUAUUUAUAAAUUGACAUUGGUAAAGAUAAAUAUAUAAGUAAGCAAUAUACAUUAAUAUACAUUAUAAAUACAAAUAUGAAUAUAACAAUUGAACAUUAGGAUAAAAUCUAUUUAAAUAUUUUUUAAAAGAAAGGGUUCGGUUUUUUUUUAUUGUUGUGUUAGAGGCAGGGUUUUUAUUUUAAAUAGUAUGAAUGUAGAUAUUGUUAUAUAUUUCUAAAUAUUGAGAUAUACAAUCAAGAUAUAAAUAUAUAUAUAAACACAAAAUAUAAAUAAAUACAAAUAAUAGGAAGUGAUGUAAUGAAGAAUACAAAUAACAGUAUACAUAAGUAUACAUUUUAAAUGUAAAUGUGAAUAUGAACCUGAAAAAUAGAAUUUUAUAAAAUAUUUAAGUACAGUUUGGAAGAAAGGGGUUCUUUUUGGCUUUAAUGUGGAUGGAGGCAAAGGUUUUAUUUUAAAUAAUCCAAGUGUUACCGAAGUAAAAAUCGUAACAGAAAUGUAUACUUACUAUGUGAAAAUAUUUAUAAAAAUAUACAAAUAAAUUUAAGUUUUAGGGAUAUAUGCAAUAUGGAAUAGAAAUGUAUUUAUAAAAAGAAAUGUAUAAAUGGACAGUG